UAAAUUGUGACUGAAACAGUGUUUAGAUGUUAACUAAAAUCAUAAGAAAACUUCAAUUUAA
This 61-nucleotide transfer RNA is filed under the name Ramazzottius varieornatus. RNAcentral's name for it is "tRNA-Asn". The record is from RNAcentral. Lineage: Eukaryota; Metazoa; Tardigrada; Eutardigrada; Parachela; Ramazzottiidae.